Molecule: transfer RNA, 53 nt
Filed under: Pleurobranchaea novaezealandiae
Lineage: Eukaryota; Metazoa; Mollusca; Gastropoda; Pleurobranchida; Pleurobranchidae
Description: tRNA-Ser
Source: RNAcentral
UGUUUAUAUAAAGGGUUUUGAAAACCUUUUGAGGAGGUAAUAUCCUCCAAACU